RNAcentral lists this ribosomal RNA (253 nucleotides) under uncultured bacterium. RNAcentral describes it as "partial 16S ribosomal RNA". It matches the Rfam family "Bacterial small subunit ribosomal RNA", at positions 524 to 776 of the family's 1533-position model. The record is from RNAcentral.
UACAGGGGGUGCAAACGUUGCUCGGAAUUAUUGGGCGUAAAGCGCGCGUAGGCGGCUACCUAAGUCGGAUGUGAAAGCCCCUGGCUCAACUGGGGAAGUGCACCCGAAACUGGAUAGCUUGAGUGCGAAAGAGGGUCGCGGAAUUCCCGGUGUAGAGGUGAAAUUCGUAGAUAUCGGGAGGAACACCGGUGGCGAAGGCGGCGACCUGGGUCGACACUGACGCUGAGGCGCGAAAGCUAGGGGAGCAAACAGG